RNAcentral lists this ribosomal RNA (500 nucleotides) under uncultured bacterium. RNAcentral's name for it is "partial 16S ribosomal RNA". It matches the Rfam family "Bacterial small subunit ribosomal RNA", at positions 30 to 523 of the family's 1533-position model. The record is from RNAcentral.
AUUGAACGCUGGCGGAAUGCUUUACACAUGCAAGUCGAACGGCAGCACGGGGGCAACCCUGGUGGCGAGUGGCGAACGGGUGAGUAAUACAUCGGAACGUGCCCAGUCGUGGGGGAUAACGUAGCGAAAGUUACGCUAAUACCGCAUACGAUCUACGGAUGAAAGCGGGGGACCGUAAGGCAUCGCGCGAUUGGAGCGGCCGAUGUCAGAUUAUGUAGUUGGUGAGGUAAAGGCUCACCCAGCCGACGAUCUGUGGCUGGUCUGAGAGGACGACCAGCCACACUGGGACUGAGACACGGCCCAGACUCCUACGGGAGGCAGCAGUGGGGAAUUUUGGACAAUGGGCGCAAGCCUGAUCCAGCCAUUCCGCGUGCAGGACGAAGGCCUUCGGGUUGUAAACUGCUUUUGUACGGAACGAAAAGGCUCUGGUUAAUACCUGGGGCUCAUGACGGUACCGUAAGAAUAAGCACCGGCUAACUACGUGCCAGCCGCCGCGGUAA